Molecule: non-coding RNA, 209 nt
Organism: Paramuricea clavata
Lineage: Eukaryota; Metazoa; Cnidaria; Anthozoa; Malacalcyonacea; Plexauridae
Source: the annotation of a GenBank genome assembly
UAAGGCCCGUUUACACUUGCAAUUUUCGCUGCGAUUUCUAGUGCGAUUUUCGUCUUCUGAUGCAUGUGAACGAGUAGAUGAGUUAUGAAUGAUAUAAGUAUAUGUACUCUCAUCUGAACAUUCAUAACUUAUCUACUCGUUCACAUCCAUUAGACGAAGAAAAUCACACUAGAAAUCGCAGCGAAAAUUGCAAGUGUAAACGGGCCUUU